AAAUUGAAGAGUUUGAUCAUGGCUCAGAUUGAACGCUGGCGGCAGGCCUAACACAUGCAAGUCGAGCGGAAACGAGUUAUCUGAACCUUCGGGGAACGAUAACGGCGUCGAGCGGCGGACGGGUGAGUAAUGCCUAGGAAAUUGCCCUGAUGUGGGGGAUAACCAUUGGAAACGAUGGCUAAUACCGCAUGAUGCCUACGGGCCAAAGAGGGGGACCUUCGGGCCUCUCGCGUCAGGAUAUGCCUAGGUGGGAUUAGCUAGUUGGUGAGGUAAGGGCUCACCAAGGCGACGAUCCCUAGCUGGUCUGAGAGGAUGAUCAGCCACAC
This 326-nucleotide ribosomal RNA is filed under the name Vibrio alginolyticus. Its description in RNAcentral is "bacterial SSU rRNA". It matches the Rfam family "Bacterial small subunit ribosomal RNA", at positions 1 to 313 of the family's 1533-position model. The record is from RNAcentral. Lineage: Bacteria; Pseudomonadati; Pseudomonadota; Gammaproteobacteria; Vibrionales; Vibrionaceae. RNAcentral also lists the same sequence under 1 other name.